This 251-nucleotide ribosomal RNA is filed under the name uncultured Flavobacterium sp. RNAcentral describes it as "partial 16S ribosomal RNA". It matches the Rfam family "Bacterial small subunit ribosomal RNA", at positions 526 to 776 of the family's 1533-position model. Lineage: Bacteria; Pseudomonadati; Bacteroidota; Flavobacteriia; Flavobacteriales; Flavobacteriaceae. The record is from RNAcentral.
CGGAGGAUCCGAGCGUUAUCCGGAAUCAUUGGGUUUAAAGGGUCCGUAGGCGGUUUUGUAAGUCAGUGGUGAAAGCCCAUCGCUCAACGGUGGAACGGCCAUUGAUACUGCAAGACUUGAAUUAUUGGGAAGUAACUAGAAUAUGUAGUGUAGCGGUGAAAUGCUUAGAGAUUACAUGGAAUACCAAUUGCGAAGGCAGGUUACUACCAAUGGAUUGACGCUGAUGGACGAAAGCGUGGGUAGCGAACAGG